Molecule: ribosomal RNA, 498 nt
Filed under: uncultured bacterium
Lineage: Bacteria
Description: partial 16S ribosomal RNA
Rfam family: Bacterial small subunit ribosomal RNA
Source: RNAcentral
GAUGAACGCUGGCGGAAUGCUUUACACAUGCAAGUCGAACGGCAGCACGGGGCAACCUGGUGGCGAGUGGCGAACGGGUGAGUAAUACAUCGGAACGUGCCCAGUCGUGGGGGAUAACGUAGCGAAAGUUACGCUAAUACCGCAUACGAUCGAAGGAUGAAAGCGGGGGAUCGCAAGACCUCGCGCGAUUGGAGCGGCCGAUGGAAGAUUAGGUAGUUGGUGGGGUAAAGGCCCACCAAGCCGACGAUCUGUAGCUGGUCUGAGAGGACGACCAGCCACACUGGGACUGAGACACGGCCCAGACUCCUACGGGAGGCAGCAGUGGGGAAUUUUGGACAAUGGGCGCAAGCCUGAUCCAGCCAUUCCGCGUGCAGGAUGAAGGCCUUCGGGUUGUAAACUGCUUUUGUACGGAACGAAAAGGCUCUGGAUAAUACCUGGGGCUCAUGACGGUACCGUAAGAAUAAGCACCGGCUAACUACGUGCCAGCCGCCGCAGUAA